GAUGAACGCUAGCGACAGGCCUAACACAUGCAAGUCGAGGGGCAGCACGAAUCAAGCUUGCUUGAUUUGGUGGCGACCGGCGCACGGGUGCGUAACAGGUGUGCAAUCUGUCCAUAAUCGGGGAAUAGCCCAGCGAAAGUUGGAUUAAUGCUCCAUGUGAGUAAGAGAGGCAUCUCUUUAUUUGAAACGUAAGGAUUAUGGGUGAGCACGCUUCUGAUUAGGUAGUUGGUGAGGUAACGGCUCACCAAGCCGACGAUCAGUAGGGGUUCUGAGAGAAGGUCCCCACCACUGGAACUGAGACACGGUCCAGACUCCUACGGGAGGCAGCAGUGAGGAAUAUUGGUCAAUGGUCGGAAGAACUGAACCAGCCAAGUAAGCGUGAAGGAAUGACUGCCCUAC
Molecule: ribosomal RNA, 399 nt
Filed under: uncultured bacterium
Lineage: Bacteria
Description: bacterial SSU rRNA
Rfam family: Bacterial small subunit ribosomal RNA
Source: RNAcentral